GGGGGAGAAAGAGAAAGAGAGAGAGAGAGAGACCGUCCUUUUGAAUAUGUGUUUUCUGUUUAUCAUUAGCUGACUGGGUGCUUCAUCAUUCGGCGAAAAUCCCUAUCUGCUGAACAUAAGGCCGAGAGACAGCGGGGAAUCAAUCUUUUGUGCUUGGGCAGAUAAACACAGGACGCAAUCAGGGGGAGACGGAGCGACGGAGCAGGCCGCGGGACUCACGCCGCCGGUGAUGGAUGGCGGAAGUGAAAGUGUCAGGAUGGCAUUAUGCAAAUGGGGGAGGCAUCCGAGCAUCGCCCCGGUGAUUAUGGGAGAUGGGAGAGCAGCCUGUGGUCCCCCUGGCACCGAGGCAGCCAUUUUGGGGGCUCGUUGUCUCCCUACUGGAGCUGAGGGAGGAGAGAAGGGGGGGAGGAGAUGAAGGAGGAGGAAAAGGGAGGGAAGAACGUGUCAUGGUAUCAUUCCCUCACAUGCGCCGCCGCCUCACACCCACCCCUUCACCCAAAAAAAAAAAGGGGAGGAAUAAGUCUAUAAGCAGAGUGAGAGGCAUCUGUGUCAUUUACUGAAACAAAUGACCGAGCGUCUCCUUCUGUGGGGUUUGAACGAGGAGGGUGAUAGAGAUAGAACUCUGAUGGAACAAUCAUGAAUAAUGAACUUGAACUGGACAGAAAUAAAAAAAAAAAGAAAGAGAGAAAAAAGCUGGUCGGCGGUGAUUUCGACAAGCUGAAACAACCGCGGCUCUCUGAGGCCGACGUGACCCCUGGGUGCAAUGGUAUCCAUCCCGGCUGUGUCACUUCCACACACACGCACACACCAAUCUCAAUGACAAGCGAGCAGGACACACUCUCACACACACACACACACACACACUCCCACUAUAAUGACCGAGGAUGCUGCUUGUAUUCAAAUGAGGGUUGAAGUGAGAGCGAGGCAGAUACUUGAGGGAGCAGCCGGGGCCCAGAGGGGAGAUCCAGCCGCAGUCCCCGCUGUACCAUUACACUGAGAUUGAAUGAAGAUGGAGACAUGGAAAAUAUGAUAGUGUGUGUGUGUGUGUGUGUGUGUGUAUGUGUGUGUGAGAGCUGAUGGGGACGGCGCAAGGAGAACGCCGCCCAGAUGAUGUAUACACACGCGAGACUGAGUGUGUUUGUGUGUGAUGUGAAAUUAGCAGCUGUAGUCAGAUGAGCCCAUUUUUCUGCUGUUUACACAAGAGGAGAGGGAGAUUGUGUGUGUGUGUGAGUGAGUGUGAGAACCAGGAUCACACAAUUAACCACAAUCAUCCAGUUUCUGUUUUUACAAUCUCAAACUGUCCCCUCGUUUCUUUUUCUUUUUUUUUUUUUCUGUGCCCAUUUUUAGUCGCUGUCCUAGAGAGACAAAGCGCUCUGAAGUGCCCGUCCUCCACCUCUAACUUCACCGCUCGCCACAACACACAGACAAUACCACUCCGUUCCGCCUGAUUGGAUCCAUUUGCAUUGGACACCUCCUCUGCAUAUUGAUUGAUGGGUUUAAUCAGCGAAUCAGGGGGAGCGCUCAGACAUCAAUCUCUGUCAGGCACCUACCUUUUUUCCGUGCCUGUGAUUCCCUGCUAGGACUCAUCAAGGAAAGCAAGUUUAGACAGAGAAAGAGGGAAAAAAAGAGAGAGGAGGGAGGGGGAGGGAGAGAGAGAGAGAAGAAGAAAGGCGCGCAGGGAUGCAAGGAGGGGAAGGACAAUGUAUUUGAAAUAAGUUCAGGUGGAUUUCUCUGACUGGCCGCGGUGAAAAGCAGAUCAGGUGUAGAAUAAAGGAGGGCUGUGAAGCGAUUUAGGAGUGGAAUAGAGUGGAUUUGCGCGCCUCGUUCAGUAAUGCAGAAAAUGUGAGUCCAGCAUUGCAAAGUUUCAACACCUCAGAGCGAAACGUCUUAUUCACUGCUAAUUAAUCCUGCGUAUUAACAUUCAUACAUUUGAUCUUAUAGGUAUUCAAACUCCCCUCCUUCUUCAUCACCUUCUUCAAAUCAAACUUUUCUUCCUCUUUUUUUUUCCCGCCUAAACUUUUGUGCAUGGCGGUUAAUGGGGGGGGGGGCGAUGACAAAACAGUUAACUAAUUGGCAUCAAGCAAAGUGCAGUCUUAAGCGCCCUCCUCCUGUCGUAUUUCACAGGUCCUACAUCAGGUGUAGCUGUCAAAGUCACAGGAUCAAUAGAAAGAGGAGGAAAAAACAGCCUUUUUUCGCUCCUCCGCUCCCGCUGUUUGUCGGCGUGUUUGUGUGUGCACGCGCGCGUCUCCAGUUGUAUAUAUAGAAAGUGUUAAUUGAGUUGUGAUUGCCAUUGUGUGCCUCAUCAGGGGAAGAACAAGACCCCCCCCCCUCCUCUUCUACACACACACACACACACACACUCCACCUCUACCCCCUUCCCCAUGUCAGUGUGAGAGUGUACCUGCGACACAUCGAGCUGACAGAUACUUCAUUUCCUUCUCACUUGAUAAUUACUGUAAUACAAACUCAAUUAAAAGUAAGCAGCUCAAAGAGGAGAGGAGAUGAGUUUGAUUAAAAUUUGAAUGAAAAUACAAAUCUAAGAAUACAUAUUUUUACAGGUUUGUUCGGGAGAGUGUGAAAUUUUUAAAAAUGGGCACGGAUAUCGAGUCACGAUCGAGGAAGUUGGAAGUUUUGUCGAGAGUUUUGGACGAUUUUCUUAUUUAUUUUUCAGAUCUGAUUUUCAGGUGUUUUGCAGCGAAUAAGAGAUUUGGAGACUCCCCUCUGGGAGCACGGCGCUGAGGUCGGUUUAACGCAGACCAGACAAUUGUCAUGAAACAUCACACACAACUAGUAAAAACACUCAAUGAACUCUAUCCUUCUGUAUUUCAACAUUUGUUUAGGCUUUAAGCAUUUUUUUUAUUUCUUCUAUUAAACUCAAUUACUUCCUGUGUGAAUCUGGCCUUGACGGAAAAAAAAAAGGGCCCCAUAAUUCAGUUCUGGGGAGAAGAAGAAGAAGAAGAAAAAAAUAAAAAAAAACCCAACAUUGCAACAUGCUCGUUUUUUUGGAGGAAGAAACUUUUAAUACCCUCAGCUCUUAAUGACGGCGCUGCAAUUAGAGUGGCUGCAUUUUUGCUCUAGCCGCGAGUCAAAGGAAAACAAAUAAAGCAGCUCGAUUUAGAAACCUUAUUAGACUUUGAGUCCCUGAGCAAUUAAAGUAUUACAGCUGAAGUGCUUCUGUGAACCCACCGAUGGAAAGCAUUUAUAGGUGGUCUUUACGUUACUGGUGGUCUGUUACUGGGCGCUUUUGCUUAUUUGCACCGUUCGGAGCUGCAGUCGUUUGGCGUUUAUGUGUCGUGAAGGAGUAUUGGACGAUUAAAGCUCUUAUGGUGUCUGUCAAGGACAAAUUAUUCACAUAAAAACUUUUCUGGCUCGUUUUGUGUGACAACAUACGACACUUAUUUAAAGUACAAUGAUUAAAAACUUAAACACAUCUCAUCUUUUUGAAGCCGUCACUCUCUGUAAUCGUGUAUCUGCAAACCCCAUGCAGGGUCUAAAUUGGCUUGGCUGUGAUGAUGCCCUUUGCAGUGCAAUCUCUCCAAUUUGAUGCCUUAUCAAAUUACCAACCCAGAGGAAAUUAAUGGUAUCAUCUGUGUCACGGCAUUGAUGUAGUUUCACUUAGCCUCAAACACUAUGGUCCUAAUUGAAUGAUUAGAUUCCUCUAGAUUUUCUAUCCAUCUUAAUACUAAUUACAAUCACAGAUGAAAACCGAGUGGCUUAUGUGUCAAUUUGACAAAUAAAAUCCAGGUAAAAAUGAGAAAAAAUGAUGUCUCAAUCAGAGAAUUUAAUAAAAGAUAAUUGUAAUGGGCUCUAAUUGUGGUGGAAGUGUUCUGAGGACAGGUGGAAUUUCAUUUUCUUCCUUAUAUUUUAUACUAAUGAGUUGUAAUGCACUUUUGGAAAGGAGCCCAAGAAUGAAAGACUAGAACCUGAUGUGCCACUAGGGGGGGUGCUGAUGCUUUUUGGCCAAAGUCUGAAAACACGCCACAGUCGAAAUGUUCUGUCUCCUUCACAUGCUUUCCAGCCGUGAGGAGAAGAGGCAGCAAAAGGGCGAAUAAGGAGGAAAAAGAGGGAGCCUGUGUGUGUGUGUGUGUGUGUGUCACAUGACUGCUUAGAUUACAGCUCUAUCUCCUCUAACUUUGUCGUAUAGUUUUCACCCUCCGCCUGUUAAGACUAUAAUCCCGCACAUACACACACACUCUCUCAGAGCUGUGACCUCCCCUCUCUCUCAGACCGCUUCUGACACCUCCCGCUCGGCCACCUUUGCCCCGGCUCCUCCCCUCCGAUCACUCGGUGAGAGUCCCCCGCCAUAAUUGACUAAUGACCCCGUAUCAAUAUUUGGCUGUGGUCACAGGCUUUCAGUACUGUUGUAAUUUAAAGUGGAUUAGUGUUCGCCUCAGCACGUUUCUUUUGGCAGCCAGCCAGUGGGACGAGCUUUUGAUAACAGGUUCCUUCUUGCGUGAGUGUGUGUGUGUGUGAGUGUGUGUGUGUUUCCACUGUGUGUGUGUGUGUACUUGUCUGCCUUGUGUGUUUGUGUGAACUACAUAAGCUGCCCAUUGCCCUACGGGACUUUAGACACCAAAGCGGUAAAAAAAAAAAGGGCUGCAGUUUUUCCCGAUGAGGAGAUGGGAGGACACACACACAUAAAAGCACACGCACACACAAACAGACUCACACACACACAUAUGCAGGCUCUGGCUGCACUGCCUGAGCCUGUUCCAGUGAAAAGCUGAGGUCCCAGUCCAAGUAUUUAUGCUGCUCUCCCACUGUGAGCGACACAUGAAGGGGGGAAAAAGCAGCCGACAAAACAACGAUUUUGAAAAGUUUGCAUAAAAAAGCCACAAUAUCUGCACUUUUUUUAAAAUGUGAAGUUUUAUAUCCCUGCAGUGACGUACAAUACAUUCAGUCAAACUAAUGAAGCGAUAUCACCAGAACACAUUGGCGGUAACAGAAAUCAUGAGGAUCAUCUUAACGAUUUGAAAACUGCUGAACUUUAUUCCCAAAAAGAAGAUAUUUCUUUAAAUUCAUCAUUAAAAGGAAAUCCAUAUUGAAAUGUAACAAAAGGGUUAGAGUUAGGGUUUAGGGUCAGGGUUUGGGUCAAAUCAAGAGGCACUUCUUUCAAAGUAAAUAACAAACCAUAGUUUACAAUUUUUGGGUGCCAAUCAGAUUUCACUUUUCCGGUAUGACCCUAAUCCCCAAUUUCCACUAGCAGCUGAUCGUAACCAUUCAAGUUAGCGUGACAAUUUCCAUCGGCUUCUUUCUGUUCCACUGCGUCUCAACGGACUCCCCAACUGAUCGCAUAACUUCUAUUUUUUCCCGAUGCUGGAUAAAUCCAGCACAGAUUUACCCGUGCUGGAAAGGAAGUCGGGCACAGACACAAAAUAAAAUAUCCAGCUCGUGUUUUAGGCCGAUCAUAUUUUAGGUUUAUAAACAGCAUUUCACCCCGAUGACACCAUGAUGCCUCCUCUGGAAGGACACAAUCUCUGCUUUUAUGCUUAUGUGGCCAAAGACAACUUGUUAUCACGCGAUCGCAUGUGAAUCCAUGGGUUCUUGUGAGUUUUCGUGAUUACUGCUGUCGCCUCACAAACAAAAUCACUUCUGUUCUGGAUGUGGUGAAAAUCGGGGGUUAGGGUUAGGGGUCAAAUCAAGUGGCACUUCUUACAAGGUAAAUAACAAACCAAACUUUUGGAUUUUUGGGCACCGAUCAGAUUUCACAUUGCCGGUAUGACCUUAAGUUCUCUCAGCUUUGACCUCAGACAGCUUUGUCCUGAGACAGUUUCCUCAGAGAGAGACCAGCCUGUCAAAUGAGGCGCUCAUGGGAAAUGCAGUCUUUCUCUGAUUAUGUCCAAAGAGGUCCCCACACUAAACACAAUGUGAAAACUCCUUACACCGACUUUAAGAGAUUAAGCGGCCGAAACUCAUGCCACUUGCAGUUCAAUUGUAAUGGUAAAUAUUUUGUAUAAAUUUGGGGGUAUACGCACCUAUAAACUUAAUGUCACUUCUGCAUAUAUAAGCGGGCCAUCUGGGUUUACCCAAGUCGAAAAAAGUCUGGACGCACUCCUGCAGUUUCACCAAUCUUCACCAUGAAAACAUUACAAGGUGUUUAUGUCAUUUAUCUCAUAGUCCAGAUUAUGUUUCCUGCAUUAGAGAAAAAGAAAUAAUCCGAAAACUAAUCCUCAGUGAAAAUCUUAUUUUGUCCUGUUGUUUCUAGAUCAGUCUCUUAAUAGGUCUAUUUUAACCUUCAACAUCUCUAUCUCUUUCUUAUCACCUUUUAACUCUUCAUUGUUAUGGAGGAGCUCUGAGUUUUGGUACAAAAACAAGGCAUUCAAACCCGCCUUUCAUUUUCCUAAAAUCAUUAUAAAGUAUUCAGACAUUUCCCUCCUCUUGUCCCUUUAUGUCUGGGCUGUCUUGGCUGAUCAGACACAAUCGAGUCCAGACUUGUCCAGAUACUCCGUCUUUAAACAAACCUUACAGCUCUACUCCAGUAAUACCCAGACAGACAGACAGACAGACAGAGAGAAAGACAAACAGCGAGACUCUGACCGUGUCUUACCUUGUCCCUGCGCCGCUCUCAGUAUGCAGAGAGCGGAGGCAGAGUGUUUAUCUCGCUCGCUGGUGGAAUGUUUGUGUAACUGAACGCUACGCUGAUCGAGUUCAAAUCACGGCAGGAUAAUUAAAACAUGUUGAUCCCUUCAGUCAUGGGGAAGGGGCAGAUUUAUUAAUGAUACACUUACCACAGCCCCGUGGACUGCACGCACACAGCUGAGAGAUGGUAAUAUUGCAUGAAAUCGUUGGUUAGAUUGUCAUUUACCUGCGGGCCCGUGCCAGUGUGAGUGGUCUUUCAUGUAAAUGAAUUUGUGCUGCGAAUGAGAGAAAGGAGAGACAGAGGGAGGAGUGAGAGAUGGAAUUAAUAGCUCGGGGUCAUGGGGAUAAUGAUUUCUUCAUGGACCCAGUCAGAGUCAAAUGGCCCAGGCGUCUCGUUUGGUUAUUUUUGAAAGGAGGGAGUGAAUGUAAGGGUGAACAUUACACGGAACAGGGGCAUUUACUGAAUAUGUAAACGCGUUUGGUUUUAUGACAGGGUCUACAUGCCAACAACGUUUUCCAAAUGACCCACUUUGUAUUCACGCAAUGCAAAUUUGCCGCUGCGUCGUUAGACCUGGUUGAUUGAGUGUUGCUCCCAUAUGUUAAACAAGAGAACAUAUAAUUUGCUCAUGAUAUCAAAAUACGGUGACGUUAACGGAUGGAAAAAAUAUUCCCUACGAGUCAGGCGCAGCUUACCUGGUCAAGUUUAACCCGGGUUAGGGGGGCGUUAUGGGACCCAAAGCUCUGAAAGGGUCAAUGAGAACCAAGAUUAUGAGUUCAGGUAAAUCAGUAGAUCACAGAUAAAACUAAAACCAACCAAUUUUUACUGAUACUGCCUUUAAUCAAACAAAGUGAACCCAUUACACUUAGUUUUGUUACAUGAUGCAGACGGACCCAACAUUAGGGUGACCGUGCGUCUUCUUUUACCCGGACAUGUCCUCUUUUGGGGGGACUGUCUGGCCUUGUCCGGUCUUGUCCAGGGGAGUCUAUAAAAUCCUUCAAAUGUCUGCGGUUUUGUAUGGAAGUUUUGAGAUUGUGUAACGUGGACUAACUGAGUUAGAACUACCCGCGACUCCGCCUCGUGUAGUAGCGUGCUCUUUUUGGGGAUUCAGAAUAUGGUCACCCUACCCAACAUUCAUCCAACAAAGCGAAAGCAAACCAGGAGCAGAAUCAGACUCACUGGUGGACGGUCAUCUGCUAAUGGGACUGGCCUGGUAUUUGGGGGAAGGAGAGAUGGACAACACCAAACACACAAACACACUGACUUUAGGAUAUCAACCUCAAUGCAUCAUGGUCUAAAAUAACUCGUAAUCAAGCGCCAUUUUGUCAGUUUGAGCACACCACAGUUUAGCCGUGGAGCAUCUUCCUGCUGCUGCUGCUGGUAUGAUGCAAUCUAAUGACACCACUGCACUUUUGAAUGUCACAUUUCACUAUUUAAAACUCCUGCAGCUUACAGAUACAAGCACUGUGAGUUAAAUUUGAGUCCAGUCUGAGCUACAACCUCUGAGCAAAGCACACAGGGUCAACACAGGCAUAUGGACGGAACCUCAUUUGGGACAAAAGUAUGGUUAACUGCAACUAUUUGAAGAACAAAUUAAGAUGCAAAUUGAGAACAGAUUAAGAUGCAUUAUGAUGAAUUUAAAAUGCAAUUUUAAGAAUAAGAGUUAGGGUAAGGGGGUUAGGGUUAGGGAUGGGUCAGCUGAUCAGCUGCUCCUGGAGGUACCGAGGUCCAAACGGAAGCUCAGAGGGGAUAGAUCUUUUUCUGUUGCAGCCCCAAAUUUAUGGAACGAGCUACCCCUCCAAAUUAGACAAGCCCCCACCCUGUCCAUUUUGAAAACUGGUCUUAAAACCCAUUUUUAUUCAUUGGCUUUUAACCCUGCAUGAGACUCGGCUCCUUUUUUAGUGUUUUAUGGUUUGUUUUUAGUUAUUUGUUUCUAUGUUUUUAAAUUAGUUUUUAAAAACAUUGAAACUAUAUUUCACUUUUAAUUCUGCUUUUAUUUUAUCCAUUGUUUUAAUUGUUUUUUGAUUGUUUUUUUUAUCUUGUUGUUUUGUCUAGUUAUGUACAGCACUUUGUUCAGCUGUGGUUGUUUUAAAGUGCUUAACAAAUAAAGUUGAGUGAGUGAGAGUGAGAUAUCACCAUAUACCCAGAUAUGUCAGAUAGUAGCAGUCAGGUGGCCUUUGUAUAACUGCAUGUGGGUUAAAUGCAUUUUCUUUUUUAAACAUUGCUUAAUUAGGGUUAGGGUUAGGGUUUCAUUCAUUGGUACUGUAGUAGAUACAGUUGAAAAUGUGCGGUACUUGAGUUCAAGACAGAUUUUCUAAAGGAGGCAACAAUGUGCAUCUUAUGAUACCAUUCAUCAUAUCUACUGUAUUGUAUCUAUCGUAUCGGAUAGAAGCAGUCGUCUCUCAGUCCUCAGACGAGUUUCCAUCAAAGUCUCUAAUCCUCCCGAUCGCCAUACACUUGGCUUUCAGCUCCCGCAUCCUCCUUCAGGACGUCCACAUACGUUAGCGCUGAACGUCCUUGCAAACGGUGCCCGUGUGUUGUAGUACCAGCUCAAUACCUCCUGACCUGAGCACCUUGUGAACGGUUCGUGAACCCUCAUCUAUCCCAACAUCUCCUCCUCCUUUUUUCACUUCCCUGCUUUUUUCCCAUCUGAUUUUGUUGAACUUUUCCCUCUGACAGCAUAUUUCCAAACCCUCUCUGCAUGAGCCUACACUCAUCCUCGACAUCAUCACAGUUAUAUCUAGUAUUGGACACAUGUUAGGGUUAGGUCUGCUAUUAUGGUUGCAUCCUUUGUCUGUUUUCUAUCCGGGUUAUGAUGGGCAGAUAAGUCGAUGUUGCCGAUGUUCACAGCUUUGGUCUCAUAUGUAAGAAUUAAAAGCUUUCGGGUUACGAAAUGAAACGAUUUGCAUAGUUUUGCUGAUGCAACAUCUUGCAGUUAAACCCCCUUGUGUUGCCGUGGCGUCCUAAUAUUUUAACAAAUGAUCAUAUAAUUUUACAAAGAUUGUGGCGUCUAAAGCUGCUCCUUAAACGAAGAUAACAACAAGUCAGACACUCAGCGCAUCAAAGCAGACAAAGAGCUGAUUUCAGGGCAUAAAUCCAAACUUUCAAGUCAGCCAUGGCACUCAUACCCCUCCAGCGCUAACUGUGAACACACACACACACACACAUAAAAGUGCAGGUGUGUUUUUCCACCCGCCCUCUGUCAUAUCUGAAUAGGGGGUGGUGGCGUCAAAAGCUGCUGGUCAAUCUCUUUGCACAUCUUUUGUAAAGGGGGCAAGUCUGACAGAGUAAACCAGCAUGGACACAUGUGAACAUAAAGAGGGGACCUCACACCCUCGCCUCCCCCAUGCUGAAAGGACCCGGUGGGGGUGUGAGCAAGGAGGGAGAGAGGAGGGAACGCAAAGGAGAAAGAGGGUCCAGGCCAGGGCCCUAAUGGUGGGAACAGUGCGGAGGUGAAGCCGUCUUUUUGUUCGCUGUGAAUAAAAGAGGCUUUUGAGAGGCAGCGUGUGUUUUUGUUCCACGGAGGGCCAUCGAGGCUGCAGGCCAUGCUCGUCCUGGGUUGUUGGAGGGGGCAGGGGUGUAGGCGGGACAGGAGUGUGGACACAGGCAGAAGACAGAGUUACUCGCUCCAGGGAGAGAAAUAUGCUACUGCGAGGGUGUUACAAGGAGGACAGCGUAUCAUCUGUCUAUGAAGAAAAAGAGAAGAAGAGGAGGGGAGGUGAGAGAGUGAGACGGAGCUUUAGAAAGAGACAGAUGGAGACAGAAGGGGGGGUGAAGAAAGUGAGACAGAGAGAAGGAGAAGGAGAGAGGGAGAGGCGUGAAGGUGCUUUAUGGGGUACUUAGUGGCUCAUGUAUCCAAGCUGCUGUCAUUUCAGGUCAUCUAUUGUGCCGUGUGCAGCUGUACACACCUGAUUUUUCUGCUUCAUACUCCAAGU
Molecule: non-coding RNA, 10512 nt
Organism: Xyrichtys novacula (pearly razorfish)
Lineage: Eukaryota; Metazoa; Chordata; Actinopteri; Labriformes; Labridae
Source: the annotation of a GenBank genome assembly